GUAGGUGAACCUGCGGAAGGAUCAUUACAGAGAGAGGUUUCACCGCCUCGGGGGGCUUCGGCCCCCAACUCUCCACCCCGUGCGUACCUUCAUUUCUGUUGCUCUGGUAGGCCUUUGAGGUCAAGCUCAUGCCGGCGCCGCCGGCGAGUGUCUGCCAGUAGCCCUUUCCGACUCGUUUUAUCAGUGACGUCCGAGUGCCAAUGUAAAUAAUCAAAACUUUCAACAACGGAUCUCUUGGUUCUG
This 243-nucleotide unclassified non-coding RNA is filed under the name rhizosphere metagenome. RNAcentral's name for it is "partial ribosomal RNA internal transcribed spacer region". The record is from RNAcentral.